UGGGGAAUAUUGGACAAUGGGCGCAAGCCUGAUCCAGCCAUGCCGCGUGAGUGAAGAAGGCCCUAGGGUUGUAAAGCUCUUUCACCGGUGAAGAUAAUGACGGUAACCGGAGAAGAAGCCCCGGCUAACUUCGUGCCAGCAGCCGCGGUAAUACGAAGGGGGCUAGCGUUGUUCGGAUUUACUGGGCGUAAAGCGCACGUAGGCGGACUAUUAAGUCAGGGGUGAAAUCCCGGGGCUCAACCCCGGAACUGCCUUUGAUACUGGUAGUCUUGAGUUCGAGAGAGGUGAGUGGAAUUCCGAGUGUAGAGGUGAAAUUCGUAGAUAUUCGGAGGAAAACCAGUGGCGAAGGCGGCUCACUGGCUCGAUACUGACGCUGAGGUGCGAAAGCGUGGGGAGCAAACAGG
RNAcentral lists this ribosomal RNA (404 nucleotides) under Actinomycetes bacterium. RNAcentral describes it as "Actinobacteria bacterium partial 16S ribosomal RNA". It matches the Rfam family "Bacterial small subunit ribosomal RNA", at positions 355 to 776 of the family's 1533-position model. The record is from RNAcentral. Lineage: Bacteria; Bacillati; Actinomycetota; Actinomycetes.